Aotus nancymaae (Ma's night monkey) is the source of this 163-nucleotide small nuclear RNA. Its record names the gene U1. It matches the Rfam family "U1 spliceosomal RNA". Rfam says of the family: U1 is a small nuclear RNA (snRNA) component of the spliceosome (involved in pre-mRNA splicing). Its 5' end forms complementary base pairs with the 5' splice junction, thus defining the 5' donor site of an intron. The record is from Ensembl. NCBI's taxonomy places the organism in Eukaryota, Metazoa, Chordata, Mammalia, Primates, Aotidae.
AAAAUUACCUGGCAGGGGAGAUUCCAUGACAAUGGAAGUGGUUUUCCCAGGGCAAGGCUCACCAUUGUACUCUGGAUGUGCUGACCCCUGCGAUUUCCCCAAAUGUGAGAAACUGGACAGCAUAAUUUGUGGUAGUGGGAGACUGCCUUUGCCCUUUCCCCUG